UGGGGAAUCAUGGCCAAUGGGCGAAAGCCUGAACCUGCGACGCCGCGUGAGUGAUGAAGGUCGUAAGAUCGUAAAACUCUUUUCAGGGAUCUUAACGCACAACCGUCAACAACGGCUGUGUGUGACUCUCCCUGGAAGAAGCCCCAGCCAACUACGUGCAAGCAGAUGCGGUAAUACGUAGGGGGCGAGCGUUAUUCGGAAUUACUGGGUGUAAAGGGUAUGUAGGCGGCCCUUCAAGUCGCGAGUCAAAGUCCAGUGCUCAACGCUGGGUGUGCGCGCGAUACUGACGGGCUUGAGGGCUGGAGAGGUGAGCGGAAUUCCCGGUGUAGUGGUAAAAUACGUAGAGAUCGGGAGGAACACCAGCGGCGCAGGCGGCUCACUAGACAGUUUCUGACGCUAAGAUACGAAAGCGUGGGGAGCAAACA
RNAcentral lists this ribosomal RNA (425 nucleotides) under uncultured prokaryote. Its description in RNAcentral is "bacterial SSU rRNA". It matches the Rfam family "Bacterial small subunit ribosomal RNA", at positions 355 to 774 of the family's 1533-position model. The record is from RNAcentral.